AGUUGUCACAUUGGCACUCAUGUCACAUCUUCCUUUUAUAUCUAAGACAGCAACCAUUGUAAACAUUGAAUAGAUAAAGACAAGUUAAUUGAUUAAGAUUAUUCUUUAUUCAUAACAGAUCACUACAUUUGUGUAGAUUAUAGAUUGCAUAAGACCUUCAGUUCUUUAAGUUUUGCCAUUCUUCAGUUACAGAAGUCCAUCGAAUAUUGUAAUAAAAUCUGACAUCAUAUCUUCAACAUAUGUAGAUUUUUCCAAUAUUUAAAAUAAAAAUAUUAUUCAAUGUGAAAAGGGGUUGAUCUUAGUUCAUCCAAUUAUUAAUUGAACCAAGGAUUUGUAUAGUUUUCUUAUUAAAAACAAUUGGCCAGAAUAAUAUUAUAAGUCCUCUCAAAAAUGUGUUAAAAACAAACAUCCUUUCUAUUUAAAGAAACCACAUUUGUUUUUUACUGAAACUAAUAAUCAAAUAUGUCAAUUUUUUCCUUUUAAAGUAUACUACAUAUAUUUUAACUUCAUUAUUUUAGUUAACAGUAUAUAUCAAAAUUAUUUAAGAAAAAAAUAAAAAACAAUAUCAAUUUAAA
RNAcentral lists this long non-coding RNA (575 nucleotides) under Mytilus galloprovincialis (Mediterranean mussel). Lineage: Eukaryota; Metazoa; Mollusca; Bivalvia; Mytilida; Mytilidae. The record is from RNAcentral.